AAACGACGAUGGGGACAUUGGUUUGUAUAGCUUCUAAAACUCUUUCAUGCUUCCCCAAAGCUUUCAUUGUUGUACUGGGUAAAGUUUGAGAUCUGGUUCCUCAACUU
Eutrema salsugineum is the source of this 107-nucleotide small nucleolar RNA. It matches the Rfam family "Plant small nucleolar RNA R71". From Rfam's summary of the family: R71 is a member of the C/D box family of snoRNAs containing the C (UGAUGA) and D (CUGA) box motifs. Multiple nearly identical copies of this snoRNA have been identified in Arabidopsis, and it is thought to function as a 2'-O-ribose methylation guide for 18S ribosomal RNA. NCBI's taxonomy places the organism in Eukaryota, Viridiplantae, Streptophyta, Magnoliopsida, Brassicales, Brassicaceae. The record is from Rfam.